UCAGGUAGGGAUACCCGCUGAACUUAAGCAUAUA
RNAcentral lists this ribosomal RNA (34 nucleotides) under Sclerostagonospora sulcata. RNAcentral describes it as "partial 28S ribosomal RNA". The record is from RNAcentral. Lineage: Eukaryota; Fungi; Ascomycota; Dothideomycetes; Pleosporales; Phaeosphaeriaceae.